Molecule: ribosomal RNA, 497 nt
Filed under: uncultured bacterium
Lineage: Bacteria
Description: partial 16S ribosomal RNA
Rfam family: Bacterial small subunit ribosomal RNA
Source: RNAcentral
GAUGAAUGCUGGCGGCGCGCCUAAUAUAUGCAAGUCGAGCGAACAGACGAGGAGCUUGCUCCUCUGACGUUAGCGGCGGACGGGUGAGUAACACGUGGCUAACCUACCUAUAAGACUGGGAUAACUUCGGGCAAUCGGUGCUAAUACCGGAUAAUAUAUUGAACCGCAUGGUUCAAUAGUGAAAGACGCUUUUGCUGUCACUAAUUGAUGUAUCCCCCCCGCAUUAGCAAGUUGGUAAGGUAACGACUUACCAAGGCAACGAUGCGUAGCCCACCUGAGAGGAUGAUCGCCCCCACUGGCUCUCAGACACCUUCCAGACUCCUACGCGAGGCAGCAGUAUCGAAUCGUCCGCAGUAGGCGAAAGCAUGACCUACCAACGCCGCGUGAGUGAGGAGGUUCUUCGCAGCGUAGUACUCUGUUAUCAGGAAAGAACAAACGUGUAAGUAUCUAUGCACGUCUUGGCGGUACUGAAUCAGAAAGGCACGGCUAACUACGUG